GCCCGCGUAGUUCAAUGGAGAGAACAGGCGCCUUCUAAGCUUCAAACACAGGUUCAAUUCCUGUCGCGGGCU
RNAcentral lists this transfer RNA (72 nucleotides) under Rhodoferax saidenbachensis. It matches the Rfam family "tRNA". From Rfam's summary of the family: Transfer RNA (tRNA) molecules are approximately 80 nucleotides in length. Their secondary structure includes four short double-helical elements and three loops (D, anti-codon, and T loops). Further hydrogen bonds mediate the characteristic L-shaped molecular structure. tRNAs have two regions of fundamental functional importance: the anti-codon, which is responsible for specific mRNA codon recognition, and the 3' end, to which the tRNAs corresponding amino acid is attached (by aminoacyl-tRNA synthetases). tRNAs cope with the degeneracy of the genetic code in two manners: having more than one tRNA (with a specific anti-codon) for a particular amino acid; and 'wobble' base-pairing, i.e. permitting non-standard base-pairing at the 3rd anti-codon position. Lineage: Bacteria; Pseudomonadati; Pseudomonadota; Betaproteobacteria; Burkholderiales; Comamonadaceae. The record is from Rfam by way of RNAcentral.